CAGUCGCCGCGUUAAUACGUAGGGUGCAAGCGUUAAUCGGAAUUACUGGGCGUAAAGCGUGCGCAGGCGGUUAUAUAAGACAGAUGUGAAAUCCCCGGGCUCAACCUGGGAACUGCAUUUGUGACUGUAUAGCUAGAGUACGGCAGAGGGGGAUGGAAUUCCGCGUGUAGCAGUGAAAUGCGUAGAUAUGCGGAGGAACACCGAUGGCGAAGGCAAUCCCCUGGGCCUGUACUGACGCUCAUGCACGAAAGCGUGGGGAGCAAACAGGAUUAGAUACCCGGGUAGUCCCUGUCUCUUAUAC
RNAcentral lists this ribosomal RNA (301 nucleotides) under uncultured bacterium. Its description in RNAcentral is "partial 16S ribosomal RNA". It matches the Rfam family "Bacterial small subunit ribosomal RNA", at positions 509 to 807 of the family's 1533-position model. The record is from RNAcentral.